AACGAACGCUGGCGGCGCGCUUAACACAUGCAAGUCGAACGAGAAGGCGUAGCAAUACGCUUGUACAGUGGCGAACGGGUGAGUAAUACGUGGGCGACCUACCCUCGAGUGGGGAAUAACCCGCCGAAAGGCGGGCUAAUGCCGCGUACGCUUCCAUCUUUAUGGAGGUAGAAGGAAAGCCGUGCCGUGGGCACGGCGCUCAAGGAUGGGCUCACGUCCUAUCAGCUUGNGGUAGGGUAACGGCCUACCAAGGCUCCGACGGGUAGCUGGUCUGAGAGGACGGAUCAGCCACACUGGCACUGCGACACGGGCCAGACUCCUACGGGAGGCAGCAGUGAGGAAUAUUGCGCAAUGGGCGAAAGCCUGACGCAGCGACGCCGCGUGGGGGA
RNAcentral lists this ribosomal RNA (389 nucleotides) under uncultured bacterium. RNAcentral's name for it is "bacterial SSU rRNA". It matches the Rfam family "Bacterial small subunit ribosomal RNA", at positions 29 to 408 of the family's 1533-position model. The record is from RNAcentral.